This 1151-nucleotide ribosomal RNA is filed under the name Campylobacter coli. RNAcentral describes it as "partial 23S ribosomal RNA". It matches the Rfam family "Bacterial large subunit ribosomal RNA", at positions 17 to 1188 of the family's 2925-position model. Lineage: Bacteria; Pseudomonadati; Campylobacterota; Epsilonproteobacteria; Campylobacterales; Campylobacteraceae. The record is from RNAcentral.
GCGAAUGGUGGAUGCCUUGACUGGUAAAGGCGAUGAAGGACGUACUAGACUGCGAUAAGCUACGGGGAGCUGUCAAGAAGCUUUGAUCCGUAGAUUUCCGAAUGGGGCAACCCAAUGUAUAGAGAUAUACAUUACCUAUAUAGGAGCGAACGAGGGGAAUUGAAACAUCUUAGUACCCUCAGGAAAAGAAAUCAAUAGAGAUUGCGUCAGUAGCGGCGAGCGAAAGCGCAAGAGGGCAAACCCAGUGCUUGCACUGGGGGUUGUAGGACUGCAAUGUGCAAGAGGUGAGUUUAGCAGAACAUUCUGGAAAGUAUAGCCAUAGAGGGUGAUAGUCCCGUAUGCGAAAAACAAACCUUAGCUAGCAGUAUCCUGAGUAGGGCGGGACACGAGAAAUCCUGUCUGAAGCUGGGUCGACCACGAUCCAACCCUAAAUACUAAUACCAGAUCGAUAGUGCACAAGUACCGUGAGGGAAAGGUGAAAAGAACUGAGGUGAUCAGAGUGAAAUAGAACCUGAAACCAUUUGCUUACAAUCAUUCAGAGCCCUAUGUAGCAAUACAGGGUGAUGGACUGCCUUUUGCAUAAUGAGCCUGCGAGUUGUGGUGUCUGGCAAGGUUAAGCAAACGCGAAGCCGUAGCGAAAGCGAGUCUGAAUAGGGCGCUUAGUCAGAUGCUGCAGACCCGAAACGAAGUGAUCUAUCCAUGAGCAAGUUGAAGCUAGUGUAAGAACUAGUGGAGGACUGAACCCAUAGGCGUUGAAAAGCCCCGGGAUGACUUGUGGAUAGGGGUGAAAGGCCAAUCAAACUUCGUGAUAGCUGGUUCUCUCCGAAAUAUAUUUAGGUAUAGCGUUGUGUCGUAAUAUAAGGGGGUAGAGCACUGAAUGGGCUAGGGCAUACACCAAUGUACCAAACCCUAUCAAACUCCGAAUACCUUAUAUGUAAUCACAGCAGUCAGGCGGCGAGUGAUAAAAUCCGUCGUCAAGAGGGAAACAACCCAGACUACCAGCUAAGGUCCCUAAAUCUUACUUAAGUGGAAAACGAUGUGAAGUUACUUAAACAACCAGGAGGUUGGCUUAGAAGCAGCCAUCCUUUAAAGAAAGCGUAAUAGCUCACUGGUCUAGUGAUUUUGCGCGGAAAAUAUAACGGGGCUAAAGU